Molecule: unclassified non-coding RNA, 322 nt
Filed under: soil metagenome
Description: partial contains 5.8S ribosomal RNA, internal transcribed spacer 2, and large subunit ribosomal RNA
Rfam family: 5.8S ribosomal RNA (bases 1-120)
Source: RNAcentral
GAUGAAGAACGUAGCGAAAUGCGAUAAGUAAUGUGAAUUGCAGAAUUCAGUGAAUCAUCGAAUCUUUGAACGCACAUUGCGCCCUUUGGCAUUCCGAAGGGCACACCUGUCCGAGCGCCGUCGCACAACUGAGGCGCAGCCUUGCGUUGGCGGGCGACUUGUGAGUAGCGAGUCGCCGCCCAAACGAGACGGCGCCGCGCCGCGGCCGACGAAGCACGAAAGCGGAAGUCGACGCGGAGGCGGUUGCCUGUAGGAAGACACGGCUUGGCCUCGGAUCAGGUGGGGAUACCCGCUGAACUUAAGCAUAUCAAUAAGCGGAGGA